CUGAAAUUAGGCAAAAAAAAUUAUCCUAUAUAUGAUUAUUGUUUCUUGCUGUUUGAUCUACUCCAAGAUCAGUUCUUGAUUAACAAGUAAAGCGGUAAGGAGCAAAUACUGAAAAUGGCAGACUCCAGCAACAAAGAUAAAGAGGGAGAAAAUAUGAAAAAAAAAAAAAAUUGUAGUUCUCAUGUGCUCCUUUUCUAUCUACAAUUCGUCAUACGGUUCUUCAUCUUUAGAAUCAGUUGAGCUUCCACCACUCUUUUCAUACACUUGCUUUAUGACUGGAUUACAAACUUCUUCCACCUCCUUCAACUUCUCUUCAUAAUCAUCCUUUUCUGCAUUUUGGUUAUCAUCUAACCAGUCAAGAGCUUCCUUCAAUGUGUUCUCAAUCUUUCCCUUAUCAUCAGAAUCAAUCUUAUCAGCAAGCUUAUCUUUGUCUCCAACAGUACUCCUCAUGUUGUAAAUGUAUGUCUCCAACUUGUUCCUCGCAUUGAUCUUCUCCUUCACCUUCUGAUCCUCCUCCGCCAUUUCCUCAGCCUCCUUUAUCAUCCUAUCGAUCUCUUCUUGGCUCAGACGCCCUUUAUCGUUGGUGAUGGUGAUAGAUUGGGAUUUCUUUGCUGCCUUGUCUUCAGCCUUCACAUGUAGGAUGCCAUUGGCAUCAACUUCAAAGGUUACCUCAAUCUGGGGUACUCCUCUUGGAGCUGGUGGAAUUCCUGAUAGCUCAAAUCUUCCGAGCUCACGACAGUCCUUCGUCAAGCUUCUUUCACCUUCGUAGACCUUAACAGAAACUGUGGUUUGCUGGUCUUGAGUAGUGGUGAAGAUUUGAGACUUUUUAGUUGGGAUGACUGUGUUUCUUGGGAUCAAUUUUGUCAUGACUCCACCAACUGUUUCAAUACCAAGACUCAGGGGAAUAACAUCAAGCAAAAGAAGACCCUUUGUUUCUUCCCCGCCUUCACCGCUUAGAAUUCCUCCUUGAACUGCAGCACCAUAGGCAACAGCUUCAUCUGGAUUGAUGCCCUUAUUAGGCUCCUUUCCAUCAAACAUAUCCUUCAACAAUUCUUGAACUUUAGGAACUCUAGUACUUCCUCCCACAAGCACAAUCUCAUUGAUAUCAGACUUCUUUAGACCUGCAUCUUCCAAAGCCUUCUUCACCGGCCCCAUUGUCUUUUUAAACAAGUCCAUGUUCAGUUCUUCAAAUCUUGCCCUUGUCAAUGGCUCUGAAAAAUCAAUACCAUCAAAAAGCGAUUCAAUCUCAACUCGAAUUUGGUGCUGGUUGCUCAGUGCUCUCUUAGCUCUCUCACAUUCUCUUCGAAGUUUCCCAAUAGCCCUUUUAUCUUUGCUGAUAUCUUUGUUGUACUUUUUUUUAAUCAACUUAAUGAAAUACUCCAUAACUCUCCGGUCAAAGUCCUCUCCUCCCAAGUGGGUGUCACCACUGGUAGAAAGAACCUCAAAAACACCAUUAUCA
RNAcentral lists this unclassified non-coding RNA (1459 nucleotides) under Hevea brasiliensis (rubber tree). The record is from RNAcentral. Lineage: Eukaryota; Viridiplantae; Streptophyta; Magnoliopsida; Malpighiales; Euphorbiaceae.